This 93-nucleotide transfer RNA is filed under the name Oscillospiraceae bacterium. Its description in RNAcentral is "tRNA-Ser". It matches the Rfam family "tRNA". Rfam says of the family: Transfer RNA (tRNA) molecules are approximately 80 nucleotides in length. Their secondary structure includes four short double-helical elements and three loops (D, anti-codon, and T loops). Lineage: Bacteria; Bacillati; Bacillota; Clostridia; Eubacteriales; Oscillospiraceae. The record is from RNAcentral.
GGAGAAGUACUCAAGAGGCCGAAGAGGGUGGUUUGCUAAACCGCUAGGGGGGUGAAUGCUCCCGCUCGGGUUCGAAUCCCGACUUCUCCGCCA